UUUAAACCAUCAGCACAGCUCAGUAGGAGAGUUAAAAUCCAUUAGCACAAUAUAAAUAUACCAGUGCUAACAGCCUCCUAUCUUUCCCAUCAGUAGAGAAGAUAUCAGAUCUACUGUUAAAGGCAAAUUGGGGUUAUUGAGGAAAAUUAAGCUCCUGCCCUGAAACAGGACUUAAAUACCAAAGGAAAUAAAUUUAGAGCUCAAAGAGGAGACAGAGAGGGGCGACUUGAACAUGAGCUAAACAUCCCAGAAAUGGUCACCUGAAACUGUGCUGCAGGGUGUAUUUUGUUCUGGCAAGGUUUACCAUGACAGCACUAAGUCAGUAGGUGCCAAGUGUUCUCCCUUAAAACUCAUGCAUGGAAAGCUUCUAUUUCCUUGGGUGUUACAAGCUGAUCCCAACCAAGUCUUCCUCACAAAUCAAAGGGUAGAGCAGAGGAUACAAAGUUCCAUUGAAGGACAGCAAGGGCUACAGUCCUGACUUCACACAUUUGAAGUGUUCCCUCAGAGCUCCUGAAAAGCAGUGAAUCAAACACACUUUAGAAUCUGCCCCUCUCGAACCAUGUAAGAGAUCUUUCAGGAAUCCAACUACAAAUCACCCAAUCAUCUUGCUUCAAAGUCAAGACUCUUCAAAACAGCCAGCAGAAACAGGACAAUAGAUCUGUUUUGAAGACAGAAAACAAGAAUCACUGUUCAUGCACUUUUUUUGCAGUCUCCCAGCUGCCAGACCCAUUCAUAUGAACAACGUUUGAAGUAAACUACCAGCCCCAGAUCAAGUACACUGAAUGUCAAAAGUGACUGGCUGAGGCAGACAAGUAAUGCUUGGUGCCUGAACCCCAGAGUCGCAACAGGGUUUAAAAGAGACGAACUGGAAUGGUGGUGGAUGAAAAAAACAUGAGCUUUCCUUCCUGAAGCCAUCAAAUGUCUCUGGAACCCUUGGAAUCAAUAUUUCUUCAUAUACGUGUGCAGAUGGACAAGUGAAACCCAUCCUCAGCAAAUGAAAGUCCUCAUAGGAAAUGUGUAUGAUGUUCUCUUCUGGGCUAGCCAGGCCUUGGUACCCCUGCAGUUAAUUUACAAGAACUCCAAGAGCUCUACAGGAUAUUUUUGUGGAUUAAGAAAGUCAAAAUUAAUACAGGACCAUAGAAAUUGAUCCAAAAGAAGUGCAGUUUGGGAGGAAAAUACCCUGAAUUUAUUAGCCACUGGUCAAGGAAGCUUUUUUACAGGUUUACAAUCACUUCCUGUGAGACUGAACAGCAAGGCCAGACUUUCCUGAUGUAGGGCAAAACUUAAAUUUCAACCUGUGUCCUUCCAAGAGAAAUGAGGCUACUCUGAAGAGUCAGGUCUUGUGCCUUGGGGUAGUAGCCCUGGACAGGAAUCCUGCCCAAGUAUGUCAGACAUUAGAACAAGAAAUUACAAGCACUUUGUCUUCCGAGUGACUUAUUAUGCUCAAUGAAAAAAGUGAAACACUCAUGUUCUCUGUCCCAGACACUCUAGUUCAGCAUGUUUUAUUGAAAUGCUACAGUGUUUUCUUUCUGUGAUUUAUAACCUUACAUAUUCCCACAUGCACUGAAAGACACUCAAAACACACGAGCAGUCUCCUGGUUAAUAAAAACCAGAUUCCGUUUCAGCCAAUGUAUUACCUGAGCCAUCUCCAGCUGAAGAACAACAGCAAGAUCAUGGUAAGAGCCAAAAGGUGACCCCUGUAACCUGAGGAUUAGGUGACCAUCUCACCAGUCUUCUCAGAGCUCACCAAAACCUUGCAACAGGCUGCCACAGCUUAGACUCAAUUAGAGAAGUAUCACUGAAGCUUUGAUUUAAACUCAUAUUAUGAUCCAAGAUUAGACCACCAGAUAAACAUUAAACCAAUGAAUAACCUUUCCUUGCGUAGCUCACAAGUGCAAAACCAAAUAUCAACCAAAAAAAUAAAUAGCAAGAACUAGUGGGAGAGUGUCUAUAUGAAUCAAAACAAAACAUGACGAGUUAUAAGAGCAAAAUAAUAAUACCUUAAUUGCUAUUUGCUCUAAGGGUUGUUAAAGGCUCAAAAUAUCUUUUAACCAAAAGAAAAAUCUACCCAAAAAAGGGCAUGCUAUGAAUAUUACUCUGCUCUUUACAACUGCAAAUAAAGAAAGAACAUGAGGGAUAAAGAAAUAAGAAAUAUCAUUAAAAUAGAAAUGUAAGGCCUCUUUCUCUUUCAGAAUUGUAUUAUUUCAGAUUACUUACAGUGUCUUCCCUGACAGAGAACAUUUUUUUAGAGGACCACAACAUGGUACAACUCUGAGCUUAAGGUUAACAGGUUAAGUGUCUUCUAGUGAAAAGAUCCUUAAAAAACAAUAGAGACUUAACUACUUACUCACUUUGCUAGUAAGUAAAAUGAGUUGCCAUUAGAUUAUUAUUGAGCAUAUUAUAGAAGGGUUUCUCUAAGUUUGUGUCACAGAAUAUUUAAAGAAAAUGAGAAGUUUCCAAGGAAAUGCUCUUGGGCCUGUUCAGAGCCCACACCAAAAUGAGCUCAUACUCGACUCUGCCCUGCCCUGGGCACAACCUCCUGAGUUAAUCAUCUCCACCAGAGAAAGGGGCCCUGCAAAUGCACCACUGUGGGCUGAGACAUGAGCACGGAGGGACACAGACCAUGUCCAAGGCCCAACACACACCUCAGCCAGAUCCUGCAGGGAAUUACAAUAAAGGAAUUCCUGCCAGAGGUUCUUGCUGUUGCCUUUGUUUGUGGUUGAAGUUUUUUAGUUAUUUUUUUAUCCUUGCCUCCCUCCCCCCUUUCUGAUAAACAUCCAGACAAAGCAACCACCUCAUCUAAUUGCCCAGGCAUUUCUAUUGCUUCAUCUCUGCAUGAUCUCAGCGCCUUCAACUUAAACUUCAUUCUCACAGUUCCCAAAUUGCAAAGGAGAAUCAUGAUGCUACCCCACAGCUGAAAAACACAGACUAAAGAGUUGAAUUAUUUGCCUGUGGUCAAAGAUCAUGGCUGUGAAAGAGAUGAUAAUUCAACACUGGACCACAGGGACCUCCUUCACUAUCACUACCAGCUUCUCCUGGGUAAGUCAGCGAGGUGCUGAACAUCUUCUGAGACUCAGUGAGAGGGAUGGCUUUCAAGAUAGACUCCAAAUGUACUAAACUCAGAGGAAACAUUUAUUUAGUUCAUUUUUCAGAUAGGAAAAAGGUAUUUCCACUUACUUUUCCAUGAGAAAAGAUUAGCUGAAAUUUUGUAUGUAACAUAGAAAACUCAUCCCUAUGAUUUCCUUCAGUCAUACAAAUGCCAUUUCACACACAUUCAACGAAAGAAACUUCAGUGAGCCUGGGUUGCUUUUUUGUCUUUAAAUUAAAACAGCAGACAUGGACAUAUACAAAUUUCAUCUUACUGCAUACAGGUUUAUGUUCAGAAAUCAAGGUAUCCAGAGGAUUGAUGGUGAAAGCCAAAAAUGAGGAUUGUUUAUGAUUUAAAAGCCUUCCAGCAGCUCAGCACCACGGGGCACAUUUCAAAGCUAACUGUACACAAAUUUCCUAGUUAAGUUCAGCUCACAGCCCUUUCUACUGAAGUCAGCUGGACCUUCAAACAAGGAGGAGAUGUAACAGGGAUGCGACUUGAGAGCCCACCAGUGACACCCAUCUGAGGAGGGCGGCACGGAGUGGAUCACAUCCUCAGUGGCUGUUCUCUGCUCCCGACUUAGGAACAGCACCUAGAAUGAAACAAUAACCAAGAGCCAGGAAAUACAUGGUUUGAGAACCGUCCUGCCCAUCUCCCAGUGGCUUCACUGAAGAUUUAAAAUACCUUUCCCCAGGAUGUUCAGAGGGCAGAACUCCCAAGGAUUUCUCUGGCUGUGUUGCUACUCCCACAUGGUUCACAAGAACACAACACAGUCACACUUCAGCACUGUCCUACACACUGUGGAUCACCCAUAUUUAUUGUCCCUGCACAAACCUGACCAAACCAUUUUGGUUCAGUGGCAGACAUAGAUGCUCUCCAUUAUACCAGUUUCAGAAGGUGGUAAAUUCAUGGGUGUCAGCACAAUUGCAGCUGUUUAACAUUCAUGUAUAGAAUAACACAAUAAGCCUUAUAAAGUCCACGCUGCAUUGCAGGGUCACUUCUCCCCCAACACUAUCAUAUAUUAUAUUAUAGUAAACUUUAACUGAGAUUUUUUUAUUUACACUAAGUCACACAGAGAAAAUCAUAUUUCAUUUAUAGAUACUCUAAGAGUGUGAAUUUUUAUCCCUGAUUCCCAGGAUUUGUACCAGCCACACAGUGGAUAAAUUUGGCCUCUCUUGCUUGACAGUGAGGUAAAUUGCACUAACUCUAGUAAGUUGCACAGUUUGUCCUAAUCUAUGUUUUAUUCCUUCACAUACACCUCAAUUUGAGGGGAAAAGAAAUAGAUAUCAGAUGUGACAAGUGUAUGUUUUUUUUCCCCUGAUAUCUGACUGUUCAUUUUGCCUUAGAAGGGCUGGAGCACCUUUCAAAAGUUUUAGCCCUCUGUUUCUGAGGAACUUAUCCUUGUGGCAUGUCUGUCAGUUUUCACAGUGCUCAAGCAAGUCUUUGCAAUUUUCACAUAAUGGCAGUUGUUGACAGGUUGUUAGGGCUGACAGUGAAUAUGUUUGAAAAACUGUCAAGCUGGUGAAAAAAAAAUUAGAGGAGAGAGAAGGAGCCUCCUUACAUUUGUAACAGCAUGUUAAACUGUAAAUGCAGUCUCAAAAUGCAUAGGUCUACUUCCAGUCGUGUUACUCGCUCGACAAUGACAGCAUAUGUGAAUAUAUGAUCCUUAAAAAUUAAUGUCAGAUUGUCAUUUUAUAGGUCAUGGUCACAUUACUACAAAACUGUUUACCUUUAUAGAAUUGAUUUUACCUUUAAUGCUCGAUAAUGGUUGUUUUAAGCAAAGAAAUUGCUAGAAAUAAGGUGCCAGUGCUAGUGGCUUUUAAUUAGCUUUAUAGUGCUUUUGCCAGAGGUAUUACUGGCCCGAGAGCCCCCGGCAAUGUGCAGAAGCUGGCUCCUGUCCAAGGGCCUUUUCCAGCACUGUACAGAGGGCUGUGGAAGGUCUCCCAAAGCUCCUCAGAGAGGUGAGUGACCAGUAGCACCUGUGGCUGAGGCCCAGCCUUGAACCCUCUUCCACAGACACCAGCGUCAUGUCUGUGCAAAGUCUCUGGACCUAAAAUUGUGACAGCCUUCAGAAAUGAACCUCUGUGGAUGGAUCUUUAUUUAUACUGCCUGCCAGUGAACUCCAAAAUGGUCCCUUGAACAAAGCAGGCUAAGAAGUAGAGAAGCACCAUGAAUCUGACAUCAUAGAAAUUACUUUUCCUCAUUAUUUUAAGACAGAUUGAGCUCAUUUGGGUGAUGCUGAAAUGCAUAGUUAGUAACUGAUAUUAAUGAGGAAACUUUUCUCUUACAUGUCAGACAGACUGAUUCUUCUUUGAUAAAGAAGUUAUAUAAUUCAAUUUAUUUCUGGGAAGAAUGAAUUCACCUAUCUCUCCUUCACAUAAGGGAUUUCUUAAAAUAAUUUUAGUUCAGAUUUUAAAUACUUUUUCUUAGAGUCUUUUUAUAGCACUGCUUUGCUUAUCAUGUCAAGGGUAACAAUAUGAGUCCUGAGCACCUACAGUGUGAGACAGGCCUGCUUUGUCUAAUAUUGGAAAAGACUAAAAUAACUGAGAAGAAUAAAGGGCAAGCUAGCAUAAUCACAGCCAUGAAAUUAUUAUAACUAUGGUAAAGUACUAGGGACUGUUUUCACAGCACAAAACUGGUCUGAAAAAAAAAAAAAAGGAGUUUGAUAUGGUCAACUAUGUAGAGGCAGCAUUGCAGUAGACAGCAGCUGAGUUACAUGACCAGCAGAAAAAUAAAGUUAAAAAUAGGCAAAAGAGCUGUACUGGAUAAAUCCAUGAAGGAAGAUGGCAAAGGUGAUAGAGAAGAAUUAAUGGAUGAUUGAUCUCCCAGGGCUACAUGCAGCAUCAAGGAUAUGAUGGGGCUUGAAAAUAUACUAAAAAAAAAAAAAAGGAUAAAAUAAUAUAGAAGAUAACCAAAACAGAAUGGUAAGGAGGAAGACCAUAAAUGAAUUGUGCAAGAAAGCCUAGAUAAUAUGAGCAGGGAACACCAGACUCUGUAGUACAGUGAGGAAGGAGACUCCAUGAGGUUCAGUGUAGAUUGACAUCUAGACUGAACUCAAACCUUGAUGUGUCACAGAAGCUUCUUCCAGCUCCUGCUGAAGUCAAGAGAAGAACUCCCAUUUAUUUGAAGAGAAGCAGGAUUAGGUCCUAAUCCUUCUGCCUCACUAUCCAGUAAAGUGAGGAUAAUAAUUGUAUUGACAGGUAAUUCUGUCUCACAGGAGUAUUCUGAGGAUUACGUAGCGUCUGCACUGUGCUGUGAAAUGCUAAGUGCUAAAUAUGAUUAUACAGGGAUUUCCAUCCAAAGAUCUCAAAGCACUUUCCAAACAUUAAUAAUUGAAGCUUUAUAAUACCCUUAGGACUGCACAUGUAAAGAAGGCAAACAAGAUUCAGGGCUCAGCAAAGCGGACAAGGAUUAUUAGACUUAUUUUAUAGUGGAUAAACUACACCACAGUGAGAUUAAGUGACUUGCCCAAAGUAACAGAACAAAUCAGUGACACUUCAGAAAACAAGCCUAGAAGGUCAGACUCCUUCACACUUUGCACAGAAAAGAUGCACAAGGGGUGAGAGGGGCAAUCAGCUUUUGGAAGGAGUUGGAUGGAUCAGACCAUUGAAGAGAUGUGCAACACCUGGAGAAGACUGAGGAGAGCACAAGAAAAGCAAACAAGGUUUGUUUAUUUUUAGGUAAAUGAGCAAGAACCAGUAGAAGAAAAUACAAUGCCUUAAAGCAGCAAAAAGUAGAGCUUACUGGCAGGAGGCAUAGCCUCCGCUAAGAACAUCAAUUCUUUGGCUUACAGAUUUAACAAAGACGACAGAGAACAUGUGUCAGAACUCAGAUUAAUUUCCCAGGGGAAGAACAAAUACAGAAGGAAAUUGAAAUCAUGUUAGAACAAGAAAUCAAGAAAUCAGAAUGACUGAAGACUGGUUGGAUGAAUGGUACGUAUUUCUCUGAAGUUCUAGAACAAAAGGCAAAGUAUUGACAAAAUUCUUCAAAAUAACUUUGGUAUCAGAGUAUUACACAACCUCAUCUAACACUGAAAUGGACUUGAAUCUCAGGGUGGCAAGCAGAGCUAGAAGAAAUCACAGCAGGCUUGGCAGAUAAGAACAACCAUAAAUGUAAACAAAGACGGCUUCUGAGAACAUUCAAGGACUCAUUUUUGGUACACGAUGACAAAAGAAAGAUCUUGCCUGGAAAUCAUAACUGAAUAU
Long non-coding RNA from Motacilla alba alba, 7293 nucleotides. RefSeq lists it as uncharacterized. The record is from RefSeq and is a predicted model, not a curated record. The transcript is spliced from 3 exons. Lineage: Eukaryota; Metazoa; Chordata; Aves; Passeriformes; Motacillidae.